Molecule: ribosomal RNA, 497 nt
Filed under: uncultured bacterium
Lineage: Bacteria
Description: partial 16S ribosomal RNA
Rfam family: Bacterial small subunit ribosomal RNA
Source: RNAcentral
GAUGAACGCUGGCGGCGGGCCUAACACAUGCAAGUCGAGCGAACACUCCAGGAGCUUGCGCCUCUGACGUUAUCGGCGGACGGGUCAUUAACUCGUCGACAACCUACCUAUGAGACUGGGAUAACUUCGGCAAACCGGCGCUAAUACCGGAUAAUAUAUUGAACCGCAAUGUUCAAUAGUUAAAGACGGUUUUUCUUUCACUUAUAGAUGGACCCGCGCCGCAUCAGCUAGUGGGUAAGGUAACGGCUUAGCAAGGCAACGAUGCGUACCCGACCUGAGAGGGUGAUCGGACAGACUGGAACGGAGACAGGGUCCAGACUCCGACGCGGAGCAGCAGUAGGGAAUCUUACGCGAGGCACGAGAGGCUGACGGAGCAACGCCGCGUGAGUGCUGAAGGACUUCGGAUCGGAAAACUCUGUUAUUAGGGGAGAACAAAUGUGUAAGUAACUAGGAACGUCUUGACGGUACCUACACAGAAAGCCACGGCUAACUCCGUG